This is a long non-coding RNA of Drosophila subpulchrella, 2069 nucleotides long. RefSeq lists it as uncharacterized. The record is from RefSeq and is a predicted model, not a curated record. The transcript has 5 exons. NCBI's taxonomy places the organism in Eukaryota, Metazoa, Arthropoda, Insecta, Diptera, Drosophilidae.
UAUGUAUGUACAAUUGAUUCCGCUUCUUCAACACGGCACGACGCUUGCCAUUUCAUAAUUGCAGCCAAAGAAGUAGGACGUGUCGGAGCUUUGUUAUAGUGAAAAUAGCCUAAAAAUAAAUAUGUGCAUAUGUAUAAAAGUUAAAUUAAAAUUAUCAAAAAUAUUUUACCCGUACUACGUUUUCGUAGAAUACAACAAAUAAGCGCGCGCCGUUACACGCAUACAUAUACAUACAUACAUAUGCACGUAAUGGACAAACAGAAAUCGAACUAAAGUGAAGUUUGUAUUAAUUAUUAAGUGGAUUAAUAUUUUCGGUUCUCAGAAACGUAUGUACAGCUGCACACACAUACAUAUACCAUAGCGUGCGUUUACCGUUGCUUGGUCGCCAACAAAGUUGAGCGUCCCAGUCGUAAGUUGCGGAACGUGUUUUAAAAAAACAUAGUUCUGGGUCGCACCUUUUUUACGCAAAACAGCACGCAUGCAAAUUUUCCAAGGCAAAUGUGGGUGCUGGGUGCAUUCUAUUGCGGUGCCUUCUAGAAGUGUUUCAGAAUAAUGCAUCCAGAAGCAUGCCCAAACACCCGUUUCGGGAACGUAUUCCGAAACAAAUAGUUCUGGGUCGUAUCUUUUUUACGCAAAACAGCACGCAUGCAAAUUUAACUAGCAAAUGUGCGUGCUGGGGGCAGCCUUUUGGGUGCCAUCUGGGUGUAUUUCAAUAUAGUGCAUCCAGGUGUAUUUUAGUGGGAAUGUAAAAAAACCAAACUCAAACCCGAAGGUUGCCGAUGCCCAUUUUUUUAGAAUCGUCUUUUUUCGGUACUGUUCUCUUGACAAACAAAUAAUAAAGACAAAAGGGAAUAUGCAAGGAAGCGCGCGGUUUUUCUUGUCUCUUGCAUUUCUCGUCAGUUGCAUUUUUAGUUCUGAAAAGUGAAGUUCGUGCCUCGUGUUUUGAAAAAGUUUGUUGCUUUCUGCCACCAAUUUAACAUCAAUAUUUUCACAGAAUCGCAAGAAAUGAAUGGGCACACCAAGGACUGAACUGCGUAAAUGAUAAAAGUACAUCAACAAGAAGGAAGCAGCAAAGCCCCGUACAGAAGGAGAGUGACUCCGAUCAAAAAUUAGUUGAGUUCUUGAAUAUUGAAAUAAAAAAUAAAUAUGAAAUUGAAAUCCAGUCUUAUGUAUUCCUGGGGAAAACUUCCAGAUAUUUGAUUUUUGAAUGCUUCUAUGUGCAUUCCUGGGUACAUGUUACAGGUGCAUUAAAAAAGAGUACACCCAGAAGGAGUUUAGUAUGUUGCUUCCAGGUGCAUUAAAAAAGAACUCACCCAGAAUGUGUUUAGUUUGUUGCUUCCAGGUGCAUUAAAAAAGAGUACACCCAGAAUGUGUUUAGUUUGUUACUUCCAGGUGCAUUCCAGAUAUAUGCUUCCAGAAGCAUGCAACGGGUGCAUUCUUUUUUGUCCCGCACCCGUGUAAAAAGAAUGGACAGACUCAUCACUUCCGGAACACCUUUUUGAUGCCAUUUCAUAAUGAAAGAACGCAUGCUGGAAUGCUGUCAUUUACGACUGGGCUGGAAUGCUGUCAUUUACGACUGGGGUGCCCUAGCGAACACACACAUGUACAUUUGCUGCAACACAUCUACACACAAACAGCGUGCGUUUACCGUUCCUGGCAAAGUCAUAGAACGAAGCGUAUAAAACUGGAUUACAUCUUGGAGGUUCCUGUUGAGAUCCAAACAAAAAGUGGAAACUGCUAGAUUUUGACGAAACUUGGCUGACAAAACGGAAUUAAUGAGGGAGAUUUCAGACUGGAAUCUCGUUAUCGAAAAAUUAAAUAAAACCCAUCUUACUCGGCGUAAGGAUGUGAAAACUCUCGACGGAGCUGAGUUUUUGAAAGUAUGCCGGGCGCCGGAAUUGAUUUAAAUCUUUUACCAAAGCAGAGACUAUUGAUAACUUACAAAACUAAUUAUUGUUUAGCUAUUAAGAUUGGUAAUACUCUACUAUUGUAUCUAUUGGUAAUAUACUGAUCACUGUAAAAUAAUUAUAAGUGUAACUGUAUUAUUUGUACCCUCCAGCAAGCCGUUA